UCCGUAGGGCGCAAGCGUUGUCCGGAAUCAUUGGGCGUAAAGCGCGCGUAGGUGGCCCCAUAAGUCCGCUGUGAAAGUCAAAGGCUCAACCUUUGAAAGCCGGUGGAUACUGUGGGACUAGAGUACGGAAGAGGCGAGUGGAAUUCCUGGUGUAGCGGUGGAAUGCGCAGAUAUCAGGAGGAACACCAAUAGCGAAGGCAGCUCGCUGGGACGUUACUGACACUGAGGCGCGAAAGCGUGGGGAGCGAACAGG
Molecule: ribosomal RNA, 253 nt
Filed under: uncultured bacterium
Lineage: Bacteria
Description: partial 16S ribosomal RNA
Rfam family: Bacterial small subunit ribosomal RNA
Source: RNAcentral